CCUACGGGGGGCAGCAGUGAGGAAUAUUGGUCAAUGGACGAGAGUCUGAACCAGCCAAGUAGCGUGAAGGAUGACUGCCCUAUGGGUUGUAAACUUCUUUUAUAUGGGAAUAAAAUGUUCCACGUGUGGGAUUUUGUAUGUACCAUAUGAAUAAGGAUCGGCUAACUCCGUGCCAGCAGCCGCGGUAAUACGGAGGAUCCGAGCGUUAUCCGGAUUUAUUGGGUUUAAAGGGAGCGUAGGUGGAUUGUUAAGUCAGUUGUGAAAGUUUGCGGCUCAACCGUAACAUUGCAGUUGAAACUGGCAGUCUUGAGUACAGUAGAGGUGGGCGGAAUUCGUGGUGUAGCGGUGAAAUGCUUAGAUAUCACGAAGAACUCCGAUUGCGAAGGCAGUUCACUGGACUGCAACUGACACUGAGGCUCGAAAGUGUGGGUAUCAAACAGGAUUAGAUACCCGGGUAGUC
RNAcentral lists this ribosomal RNA (460 nucleotides) under uncultured bacterium. RNAcentral describes it as "partial 16S ribosomal RNA". It matches the Rfam family "Bacterial small subunit ribosomal RNA", at positions 338 to 795 of the family's 1533-position model. The record is from RNAcentral.